GAUCCUGGCUCAGGAUGAACGCUAGCUACAGGCUUAACACAUGCAAGUCGAGGGGAAACGACAUCGAAAGCUUGCUUUUGAUGGGCGUCGACCGGCGCACGGGUGAGUAACGCGUAUCCAACCUGCCCAUCACUUGGGGAAUAACCUUGCGAAAGUAAGACUAAUGCCCAAUGAUAUCCCACCGAAGGGCAUCCGAAUGGGGAUUAAAGAAUUUAUCGGUGAUGGAUGGGGAGUGCGU
Molecule: ribosomal RNA, 238 nt
Filed under: uncultured bacterium
Lineage: Bacteria
Description: partial 16S ribosomal RNA
Rfam family: Bacterial small subunit ribosomal RNA
Source: RNAcentral